CGUAGGUGAACCUGCGGAGGGAUCAUUACUGAAUGGCCUCGGCCUUCAACCUUGUAAACCUGUGGAAGCAAUCUGUGCUUCGGCGCUCCGGCGUCGCAUUUAUGCAGCGAAGCAUUUGUCUGAAUCAAAAGCAAGAAUUAAAACUUUCAACAAAGGAUCUCUUGGCUCUCGCAUCGAUGAAGAACGCAGCGAAGCGCGAAAUGUAGUGUGAAUCGCAGAACAUUGUGAAUCAUCGAAUCUUUGAACGCACAUUGCGCCUCCGGUCAUUCGGAGGCAUGCCUGUCUGAGCGUCAUUUAAACCAUAGCCCCGUAAGGGUCUGUCUUGGGCAUCGCCCGUGGGCGUAGCCUGGAAGCCAUCGGUCUAAAGAGCGGACGAGAUCCAUUAGGACUGACCGUUCUGCGACCCUAAACCUCUGACUUGACCUCAGAUCAGGUAGGGCUACCGCCUGAACUUAAGCAUAUCAAUAAGCGGAGGA
Molecule: ribosomal RNA, 476 nt
Filed under: uncultured fungus
Lineage: Eukaryota; Fungi
Description: eukaryotic LSU rRNA
Rfam family: 5.8S ribosomal RNA (bases 142-293)
Source: RNAcentral